CCUUUGUACACACCGCCCGUCGCUACUACCGAUUGAAUGGCUCAGUGAGGCCUUCGGACUGGCUCGAGGAGGUUGGCAACGACCACCUCAAGCCGGAAAGUUGGUCAAACUCGGUCAUUUAGAGG
This 125-nucleotide ribosomal RNA is filed under the name Paraphaeosphaeria sporulosa. Its description in RNAcentral is "partial small subunit ribosomal RNA". It matches the Rfam family "Eukaryotic small subunit ribosomal RNA", at positions 1657 to 1779 of the family's 1831-position model. The record is from RNAcentral. Lineage: Eukaryota; Fungi; Ascomycota; Dothideomycetes; Pleosporales; Didymosphaeriaceae.